CCUGGCUCAGGACGAACGCUGGCGGCGUGCUUAACACAUGCAAGUCGAACGAAGAGCGAUGGAAGCUUGCUUCUAUCAAUCUUAGUGGCGAACGGGUGAGUAACGCGUAAUCAACCUGCCCUUCAGAGGGGGACAACAGUUGGAAACGACUGCUAAUACCGCAUACGAUCUAAUCUCGGCAUCGAGAAUAGAUGAAAGGUGGCCUCUAUUUAUAAGCUAUCACUGAAGGAGGGGAUUGCGUCUGAUUAGCUAGUUGGAGGGGUAACGGCCCACCAAGGCGAUGAUCAGUAGCCGGUCUGAGAGGAUGAACGGCCACAUUGGGACUGAGACACGGCCCAGACUCCUACGGGAGGCAGCAGUGGGGAAUCUUCCGCAAUGGACGAAAGUCUGACGGAGCAACGCCGCGUGAGUGAUGACGGCCUUCGGGUUGUAAAGCUCUGUUAAUCGGGACGAAAGGCCUUCUUGCGAAUAGUUAGAAGGAUUGACGGUACCGGAAUAGAAAGCCACGGCUAACUACGUGCCAGCAGCCGCGGUAAUACGUAGGUGGCAAGCGUUGUCCGGAAUUAUUGGGCGUAAAGCGCGCGCAGGCGGAUUGGUCAGUCUGUCUUAAAAGUUCGGGGCUUAACCCCGUGAUGGGAUGGAAACUGCCAAUCUAGAGUAUCGGAGAGGAAAGUGGAAUUCCUAGUGUAGCGGUGAAAUGCGUAGAUAUUAGGAAGAACACCAGUGGCGAAGGCGACUUUCUGGACG
This 747-nucleotide ribosomal RNA is filed under the name uncultured Bacillota bacterium. Its description in RNAcentral is "bacterial SSU rRNA". It matches the Rfam family "Bacterial small subunit ribosomal RNA", at positions 18 to 735 of the family's 1533-position model. Lineage: Bacteria; Bacillati; Bacillota. The record is from RNAcentral.